This 580-nucleotide ribosomal RNA is filed under the name uncultured bacterium. Its description in RNAcentral is "bacterial SSU rRNA". It matches the Rfam family "Bacterial small subunit ribosomal RNA", at positions 33 to 622 of the family's 1533-position model. The record is from RNAcentral.
ACGCUGGCGGUGCGCCUUACGCAUGCAAGUCGAGCGAAGCUUUUCAGUAGUUUACUACAGAAAAUGACUGAGCGGCGAACGGGUGAGUAACGCGUGAGCAAUCUACCUUAGUCACAGGGAUAGCCCGAGGAGACUCGGAUUAAUACCUGAUAUUCUUUAUAUUUCGCAUGAAAUUAAAAGGAAAGGUCAGCCGAACUAAGAUGAGCUCGCGUUCUAUCAGCUAGUUGGUGAGGUAAAAGCUCACCAAGGCUACGACGGAUAGCUGGUCUGAGAGGACGAUCAGCCACACUGGGACUGAGACACGGCCCAGACUCCUACGGGAGGCUGCAGCAGGGAAUAUUGCGCAAUGAGCGAAAGCUUGACGCAGCGACACCGCGUGUGGGAUGACGGAUCUAGGUUUGUAAACCACUUUCAGGAGGGAAGAAAAUGACGGUACCUCCACAAGAAGCCCCGGCCAACUACGUGCCAGCAGCCGCGGUAAUACGUAGGGGGCGAGCGUNGUCCGGAUUUAUUGGGCGUAAAGAGCUCGUAGGCGGUUCAACAAGUCGGUCGUGAAAGUUCAGGGCUCAACCCUGAAAUG